UUAUAUUUCAGCGUAUAAACUACAAAAAACAUUGGUUUGCAUUAUACAUUCGCCAUUUUACGCAGCUACUCGUCGGCUGUUGUGUGUUAUCGCUCCGGGUAAAAACAAAACAAAAACAAACCUAUUCUAUCUCGUGAGCUCUCUGUUCACUUCCUACCAACAACAUGGGCAAAGCGAAGGCAGCUGUCCUCCCUGAGGAGAGACGAUUUUCCAAGCGGCUGGCUGCUGUGAACCCUCCUAAAGCAGUGGAAGCCAAGAAAAAGCCUGCUGUAAAAAAGGCGCUGAAAGCAAAGAAGACCAAACUAACUGAAAAUGGCGGCGCCAAGGCUGAGGAGCCAAAGGCCGAUGCCGCGGAAGCCAAAUGAAUAACAGUUGAUGUGCUCAGUCUGUGUACUUGGUGAUUGUACAGUUUUAAAUUAGUAUUUUUUACCAAGUUUUAUAUUACAAAUGUCAUUUAUAUGUUUGUUUUGGGCUUGCACUUGUAACAAAAGUUUGUUGUCACAUUCAUAUCCAUUUUAUACCCAUAAAAAUGAUUACCGUCCAUAUCUGGUAGACGUGGCAUUUUUAGUUUGUCUAAUCCUGUUUGUUUUUGUUGUUUUUUUUAAACUGCUGAGUAAUGGAUAUUUUCCACCAAGUUGGAAUUUAAAUCCAAUUUUAAACAUUAUAAGGCAGCUAAAGCCUAUUGUUAAAAUUUGAGGUAAAAUAGGAAUUUUGCCUUCUAUCCUUGUAGAAAUUGCUUACCAAAUGUUUUGAAACACUGUAUGUUGAAAAAAGUUCCAGUCAGUAAAAAAUACCACAAAAAAAACUGUUAUUAGGUCAAAACGAUUGAAACAUCCCCAAAACAUGUAUGACGUGAACCUGGUCAUCUGAUGAAAAGUCCUGUUAAGUUAUGUUUCUCUUCGACUGAUGCUUUUCUGACUUUAAUUGUUGAUCUAAAUGUUCUUGAAUAAAAAUUGUCAAAUGUU
Molecule: long non-coding RNA, 965 nt
Organism: Gasterosteus aculeatus aculeatus (three-spined stickleback)
Lineage: Eukaryota; Metazoa; Chordata; Actinopteri; Perciformes; Gasterosteidae
Source: RefSeq, a predicted model, not a curated record